AGUGAACGCUGGCGGUAGGCCUAACACAUGCAAGUCGAACGGCAGCACAGUAAGAGCUUGCUCUUACGGGUGGCGAGUGGCGGACGGGUGAGGAAUACAUCGGAAUCUACUUUUUCGUGGGGGAUAACGUAGGGAAACUUACGCUAAUACCGCAUACGACCUACGGGUGAAGUCAGGGGAUCUUCGGACCUUGCGCGAUUGAAUGAGCCGAUGUCGGAUUAGCUAGUUGGCGGGGUAAAGGCCCACCAAGGCGACGAUCCGUAGCUGGUCUGAGAGGAUGAUCGGCCACACUGGAACUGGGAAACGGUCCAGACUCCUACGGGAGGCGGCAGUGGGGAAUAUUGGACAAUGGGGGCAAGCCUGAUCCAGCCAUACCGCGUGGGUGAAGAAGGCCUUCGGGUUGUAAAGCCCUUUUGUUGGGAAAGAAAAGCAGCAGGUUAAUACCCCGCUGUUCUGACGGUACCCAAAGAAUAAGCACCGGCUAACUUCGUG
Molecule: ribosomal RNA, 492 nt
Filed under: uncultured bacterium
Lineage: Bacteria
Description: partial 16S ribosomal RNA
Rfam family: Bacterial small subunit ribosomal RNA
Source: RNAcentral